GCCUACAAGAAUCAGUCUGGCUGCUCUGUAAAGAGUAAAGCUCCAGCCUGGCCCAUAUGGUGAAACCCUGUCCCUACUAAAAAUACAAAAAUUAGGCAGGCGUGGUGGCACGCACCUGUAGUCCCAGCUACUCAGGAGGCUGAGGCAGAAGAAUCGCUUGAACUCAGGAGGCAGAGGUUGCAGUGAGCUGAGAUCAUGCCACUGCACUGCAGCCUGGGUGACAGAGCAAGACUCCGUCUCAAAAAAAUAAAGAACCUGUGAGGGUGAAUGCUGAAACAGAAAAAAAAAAAAAAAAGAAUUACUUUAUUAAAACCUCCUUGAGUUACUGGGAGGCAGCGUGGCCCUGCUUUG
This 351-nucleotide long non-coding RNA is filed under the name Pan troglodytes (chimpanzee). RNAcentral describes it as "long non-coding RNA NONPTRT017245". Lineage: Eukaryota; Metazoa; Chordata; Mammalia; Primates; Hominidae. The record is from RNAcentral.